Molecule: long non-coding RNA, 276 nt
Filed under: Elaeis guineensis (African oil palm)
Lineage: Eukaryota; Viridiplantae; Streptophyta; Magnoliopsida; Arecales; Arecaceae
Description: long non-coding RNA (EGUI_LNC076474)
Source: RNAcentral
AGCCCCAUAUGAUUUUUGUUCCAAUUCUCUAUUAUCUACACCCACCACCACCUCAGAAAAGUAUGAAGUGAAUUUUCUUCUUUUGCAAUCAAUGCGAUUUAGAUGUAGUAGGUACUAGCACGUUAUUGAAACUUGUAAUAUAAUGCAUGUAAGAAUUUGUGCACAGCUAAGGCAAAAUGUUAUUUGCUUUGAGAAAUUUGAAAGACUAAAAUAUGGUUAGAAAUUCAAAGUUGACUAUGGUAGACGAUCAAUCUAAAACCAACAUAUCUACUGAAA